UACGAAGGGUGCAAGCGUUACUCGGAAUUACUGGGCGUAAAGCGUGCGUAGGUGGUGCGUUAAGUCCGAUGUGAAAGCCCUGGGCUCAACCUGGGAAUGGCAUUGGAAACUGGCGUGCUGGAGUACGGUAGAGGGUGGCGGAAUUCCCGGUGUAGCAGUGAAAUGCGUAGAUAUCGGGAGGAAGAUCCGUGGCGAAGGCGGCCACCUGGACCAGUACUGACACUGAGGCACGAAAGCGUGGGGAGCAAAC
This 250-nucleotide ribosomal RNA is filed under the name uncultured Vulcaniibacterium sp. RNAcentral describes it as "partial 16S ribosomal RNA". It matches the Rfam family "Bacterial small subunit ribosomal RNA", at positions 524 to 773 of the family's 1533-position model. The record is from RNAcentral. Lineage: Bacteria; Pseudomonadati; Pseudomonadota; Gammaproteobacteria; Lysobacterales; Lysobacteraceae.